AACAAAUUUCUGUAGUUUUCACAGCAUUAUUACUGUAAAAUGAGCAAAUGCUUACUGUAGAACUUGUAUACAGCAAGUUGCUGUAGAUCUGCAAAGCAUCAUGGUCUUUUUUCAACGGCGGGUAAAUUCUACAGUAAAAAUAUUUUUUCUGUGAAUCACAAUACAGCAAUUUCUAGAGGAUUUUUUUCUUCAGCCAAGGAAAGCUACGAGAUUCCACACUUUCAUCUGAAUUUUUACUUCAGAAAGACUGCAGACAAGAGCCAUCGACCAUCGUUCCAGUGCACAGAAACCAUGCAACAGGAAGAAGCUGUUUUUCUCUUGGUUGAUGAAACUUCCACCUAAACAGAUGCUGAGGCCCAGAUUUCCCUGCCAAGCACUCCAAGGCUCAUCAUGCUCGGAGAGUCCAUUCUGGGGGCACAAAAUGGAUGCUUUCCAUCGAGGGCAGAAUUGAGUGACCGCUGUGAUUUCACUUCUGCUCUAGCCAUGUAUGAUGCAGCCACUACAGUGGAAUUUAUCCAGAGGGUAGAGUCCAGCCCAGGAAGUCAACUAGUUCGGGUCCAGUUUUAAAAGAAUAAUAGUUCUGAAAAAAAAACGUCUUGGAGAAAAACAAUAUUCAGGUUUGAAAUCCUGCUGUAAAUGUAAAUCAUUUAAUUUUUAUGCAUUUGUAAUUUACCAGAAACAUUUUAAUAAAUAUUGAUUGUUUUGUGUGUUCAGAAAAGUGUUUUUGUAUGAAGUGUUGAAAUUAAAUGAAAUAUUCACAGAAAAAUUUUAACAUAUUAAAAAAAAUGUAUGUGUUCAGAAAAGUUUUGAGAUGUUCACAGAAAAAAUGUAACAUGUUGAAAAAAAUGUAUGCUAUGCUAUUUUUAAUUUAUGAAUUUUUGUAAUUUAAA
Molecule: non-coding RNA, 890 nt
Organism: Paramisgurnus dabryanus
Lineage: Eukaryota; Metazoa; Chordata; Actinopteri; Cypriniformes; Cobitidae
Source: RefSeq, a predicted model, not a curated record